UACGUAGGGUGCAAGCGUUGUCCGGAAUUAUUGGGCGUAAAGAGCUCGUAGGCGGUUUGUUGCGUCGGCUGUGAAAUCCCCGAGGCUCAACCUCGGGUCUGCAGUCGAUACGAGCAAAACUAGAGUGUUGCAGGGGGAGACUGGAAUUCCUGGUGUAGCGGGUGAAAAUGCGCAGAUAUCAGGAGGGAAACACCGGGUGGGCGAAAGGGC
RNAcentral lists this ribosomal RNA (210 nucleotides) under uncultured bacterium. RNAcentral describes it as "partial 16S ribosomal RNA". It matches the Rfam family "Bacterial small subunit ribosomal RNA", at positions 524 to 722 of the family's 1533-position model. The record is from RNAcentral.